AGAAGCUGCAGAGCUGCAGCUGGCUGGACAGAAGUGAUCCACACACAUAAAUCACACAUGCAUGUGUGUCACCAUAGAAAAACGGGUCACGCAAACACGGCUGGAAACCAGCAGGCUGGGGCCCAGGGCAAACACUUCAGCGCCACAGACAACGUGCAGUGACUACACCUUCCGGAGCUAUGCAGAAUUCGAGCAGUGAGAGCAGACGUGCCAGGCUUCUUCACAGUCCCAAGGGAAGGCAAGCUGUCUUUCCCCAUUAGUAUGUCAACUGCAGCAUGUUUUGUAGAUGAUCUUUAUGUGAGAUUUUAAAAGUGUUCCUGUAUUCCUAUUUUUCUGGUAGUUUUUAUCCUGAGUGUUAAGUUUUAUCAAAUGCUUUUUCUGACUCUAUUUAUAUGAUCAUGUGAUU
Molecule: long non-coding RNA, 406 nt
Filed under: Callithrix jacchus (white-tufted-ear marmoset)
Lineage: Eukaryota; Metazoa; Chordata; Mammalia; Primates; Cebidae
Description: lncRNA (ENSCJAG00000080201.1)
Source: RNAcentral